ACAUUCCACAGUUUCAUCAAGACCCAAUGUGACGUUACCAAACUGUUGCCUCGGCGGGAUCUCUGCCCCGGGUGCGUCGCAGCCCCGGACCAAGGCGCCCGCCGGAGGACCAACCAAAACUCUUAUUGUAUACCCCCUCGCGGGUUUUUUUUAUAAUCUGAGCCUUCUCGGCGCCUCUCGUAGGCGUUUCGAAAAUGAAUCAAAACUUUCAACAACGGAUCUCUUGGUUCUGGCAUCGAUGAAGAACGCAGCGAAAUGCGAUAAGUAAUGUGAAUUGCAGAAUUCAGUGAAUCAUCGAAUCUUUGAACGCACAUUGCGCCCGCCAGUAUUCUGGCGGGCAUGCCUGUCCGAGCGUCAUUUCAACCCUCGAACCCCUCCGGGGGGUCGGCGUUGGGGAUCGGCCCUGCCUUGGCGGUGGCCGUCUCCGAAAUACAGUGGCGGUCUCGCCGCAGCCUCUCCUGCGCAGUAGUUUGCACACUCGCAUCGGGAGCGCGGCGCGUCCACAGCCGUUAAACACCCAACUUCUGAAAUGUUGACCUCGGAUCAGGUAGGAAUACCCGCUGAACUUAAGCAUAUCAAUAAGCGGAGGAAAAGAAACCAACAGGGAUUGCCCCAGUAACGGCGAGUGAAGCGGCAACAGCUCAAAUUUGAAAUCUGGUCCCUAGGGCCCGAGUUGUAAUUUGUAGAGGAUGCUUUUGGUGAGGUGCCGCCCGAGUUCCCUGGAACGGGACGCCACAGAGGGUGAGAGCCCCGUCUGGCUGGCCGCCGAGCCUCUGUAAAGCUCCUUCGACGAGUCGAGUAGUUUGGGAAUGCUGCUCAAAAUGGGAAGGUAUAUGUCUUCUAAAGCUAAAUAUUGGCCAGAGACCGAUAGCGCACAAGUAGAGUGAUCGAAAGAUGAAAAGCACCUUGAAAAGAGGGUUAAAUAGUAGUGAUGUUUUGGGGGGGGGAGAGGGAAAACCCCCCCCUCCUCCCAGGUU
RNAcentral lists this ribosomal RNA (977 nucleotides) under Trichoderma harzianum. Its description in RNAcentral is "eukaryotic LSU rRNA". The stretch from base 534 to 977 matches the Rfam family "Eukaryotic large subunit ribosomal RNA", at positions 1 to 447 of the family's 3401-position model. Lineage: Eukaryota; Fungi; Ascomycota; Sordariomycetes; Hypocreales; Hypocreaceae. The record is from RNAcentral.